This 466-nucleotide ribosomal RNA is filed under the name uncultured bacterium. RNAcentral describes it as "partial 16S ribosomal RNA". It matches the Rfam family "Bacterial small subunit ribosomal RNA", at positions 28 to 507 of the family's 1533-position model. The record is from RNAcentral.
GACGAACGCUGGCGGCGUGCUUAACACAUGCAAGUCGAACGGAAAGGCCGCUUUCGGGGGGUACUCGAGUGGCGAACGGGUGAGUAACACGUGAGUAACCUGCCGUUGAGUUUGGGAUAACUUCAGGAAACUGGGGCUAAUACCGUAUAGGAGCUCCUGCGGGAGGGUGGGGGUGGGAAAGUUUCGGCGGUUGGGGAUGGACUCGCGGCUUAUCAGCUUGUUGGUGGGGUAGUGGCUUACCAAGGCUUUGACGGGUAGCCGGCCUGAGAGGGUGACCGGCCACAUUGGGACUGAGAUACGGCCCAGACUCCUACGGGAGGCAGCAGUGGGGAAUAUUGCACAAUGGGCGGAAGCCUGAUGCAGCAACGCCGCGUGCGGGAUGACGGCCUUCGGGUUGUAAACCGCUUUCGCCUGUGACGAAGCGUGAGUGACGGUAAUGGGUAAAGAAGCACCGGCUAACUACGUG